RNAcentral lists this small RNA (477 nucleotides) under Pongo abelii (Sumatran orangutan). RNAcentral's name for it is "processed transcript". The record is from RNAcentral. Lineage: Eukaryota; Metazoa; Chordata; Mammalia; Primates; Hominidae.
AUUGGAAGCAGAGCUGCGAGUUAGGAAGCGGCUCGCUGGCAGCUGGGCACGUUUCUUUCCUGCGAGGUCGGCUUUUUUGAUUUGCUCUUUUUCACGUGAAAAUGUUCAGCUUCAUUUUUAGACACCUUUAGACUUGGUUAUCACUAUUUAAAGCCUUGAUUUUUUUAAAACAAAUAGUUUCCAUUUUAUUCAUUGAAACAGGGAGAGAACAAAUACCAUCUUGCUUUUUGGGCUGGCUUCCUAUUUCAAGGAGAGACGCCAAGGUAAUUUUGACCCAGAGGAGGAAUGAUGUAGCCACCUCCUAACCUUCCCUUCUUGAACCCCCAGAGACGGGGUUUCACCAUAUUGACCAGGCUGGUCUCGAACUCCAGAGCUCAGGUGAUCCACCCGCCUCAGCCUCCCAAAGCACUGGGAUUACAGGCGUGAGCCACCAUUGCUGGCCUGUUGUUGUAUAUUUGUAAUGCUGAUCACAAAGGU